Long non-coding RNA from Octopus bimaculoides (California two-spot octopus), 521 nucleotides. RefSeq lists it as uncharacterized. Lineage: Eukaryota; Metazoa; Mollusca; Cephalopoda; Octopoda; Octopodidae. The record is from RefSeq and is a predicted model, not a curated record.
UGAAGAAUAUAUUAGAAUCAUAACAGUAAAAGUACUACACAAUAUUGUACAAAAGAUUUUUUCCUGUCGAUUUUCAACUUAUGUGUUUUGGUUGAAUUUCUGAAUUUGACAUUUUGUUUGAUAGGAGGAAUGAUUGGUAACCAAGGUAUUUUACUGUAAAGAGGAGAUUUCAUGAACCUUUGAAGGUCAAAUGAAAACUAGGUUAAUUUUUAAUGAUCACCCUAAAGAUAAGUAAAUAAAUGCCAGAUGACCGAUGCGGAAGAAAACAGUGAAACUGAAAGACUACAGAAGACAUAUGCAAAGAUGAUGAGAGAUAGUUAUAGGAUUUUGAAUGGUACAAGAGAUGACAAGGGAACACUACGACUAGCAGAAUGCUGCGUUGUAUAUCCUAUCCAACGCAGGCAAAUGGAAAUAUUGAAGGCAGAAAAUUAUAAUGACGAUGGUGAUAUACAGUAAUGAGUGUUUUGUAUAUUUAUAAAAACAUCAUUGACUUAAUAAAUGUUCUACGUACAUGUAAAGAA